RNAcentral lists this transfer RNA (72 nucleotides) under archaeon. RNAcentral describes it as "tRNA-Thr". It matches the Rfam family "tRNA". From Rfam's summary of the family: Transfer RNA (tRNA) molecules are approximately 80 nucleotides in length. Their secondary structure includes four short double-helical elements and three loops (D, anti-codon, and T loops). The record is from RNAcentral. RNAcentral also lists the same sequence under 1 other name.
GCCUGCGUAGCUCAACGAUAGAGCAACAGUUUUGUAAACUGUAGGUUGAGGGUUUGAUUCCCUUCGCAGGCU